AUGCUCUCUUUGGCAGCACAUAUACUAAAACUGGAACGAUGCAGAGAAGAUUAGCACAGCCCCUGCGCAAAGAUGACAUGCAAAUUCCUGAAGUGUUCCAUAUUUGU
RNAcentral lists this small nuclear RNA (107 nucleotides) under Moschus moschiferus (Siberian musk deer). Lineage: Eukaryota; Metazoa; Chordata; Mammalia; Artiodactyla; Moschidae. The record is from RNAcentral.